This 253-nucleotide ribosomal RNA is filed under the name uncultured bacterium. RNAcentral's name for it is "partial 16S ribosomal RNA". It matches the Rfam family "Bacterial small subunit ribosomal RNA", at positions 524 to 776 of the family's 1533-position model. The record is from RNAcentral.
UACAGAGGUCUCAACCGUUGUUCGGAUUCAUUGGGCGUAAAGGGUGCGUAGGCGGUCGCGCAAGUCGGAUGUGAAAUCUCAGGGCUCAACCCUGAAACUGCAUUCGAUACUGCGUGGCUAGAGUGCUGGAGAGGAGACUGGAAUUUACGGUGUAACAGUGAAAUGCGUAGAUAUCGUAAGGAAGACCAGUGGCGAAGGCGAGUCUCUGGACAGCAACUGACGCUGAGGCACGAAGGCCAGGGGAGCAAACGGG